UAGUGUGUGUGUUGGGUGAAGCGGUAGUGAUCAGCUGAUGUCUCUCUCUGACCACCAGCAGCCUGUCAAGCUGUUUGGAGGCUCAGAAACAACCAACCGAGCGGUUCAUUCAUCAAUAAGACAUAGAGGUGAAAGUUGUUCCUGUUGUUCUUUGUCUCUUGUGUUGAUUGAAGCCUUCAAUGACUCUGAUCAGGACAUUAAGAGGAUGUUUUGGGGCAGAUUGUCUCUUUAAAAGCAGCUGAAGGAGACUCAGGUGAGCUCCGUCAUUAGAAACUGGAUCAAAGCUCUUCUCCACCAGGCGGCGCCACUCUGAGUCUCAGAGACCAGAAGAUCCUGAUCUGGAUCAUCAUGAACCUGCUUUGAGAAGCUGUGAUGUCAUCAGUCCUCCAUCUUGGACUGGAACAAGGCGUCUGAUCCAGAGGACGACGGUCAGCAGUUUGGACGAAUUGCCCCGAAACUUUCAAAAUGUUCUUAUUUUAUUUUAUGUUGAUACAUGUAGUAGGGUGACUUUUCCAGAAAUGUCAAAAAACACCAUAUUUUCAGAUGUCCAAAAUUUGAAUUUUGAAAAACAAAGUCAUACUAUAGCAUGUUGAAUUUUUUGGGGAAAAAAUCAUACAUUUUUCAAAUGCCCCGAAACUUUCAAAAUUGUCUUAUUAUAGUCUGUUAAUACAUGUAGUAGAAUAU
This is a long non-coding RNA of Centropristis striata (black sea bass), 684 nucleotides long. RefSeq lists it as uncharacterized. The transcript is spliced from 3 exons. NCBI's taxonomy places the organism in Eukaryota, Metazoa, Chordata, Actinopteri, Perciformes, Serranidae. The record is from RefSeq and is a predicted model, not a curated record.